RNAcentral lists this ribosomal RNA (481 nucleotides) under uncultured bacterium. RNAcentral's name for it is "bacterial SSU rRNA". It matches the Rfam family "Bacterial small subunit ribosomal RNA", at positions 15 to 518 of the family's 1533-position model. The record is from RNAcentral.
GAUUCUGGCUCAGGAUUAACGCUGGCGGCGUGCCUAAUACAUGCAAGUCGGAUGGUUAGCUUGCUAACCAUGGCGAACGGGUGAGUAACACGUAGGCAACCUGUCUAAUAGACGAGGAUAACCAUUGGAAACGAUGGAUAAUACUGGAUAGGAUUAUUUAGGGCAUCCUAGAUAAUUUAAAGAUUUAUCACUUUUAGAGGGGCCUGCGGCGCAUUAGCUAGUUGGUAGAGGUAAAGGCCUACCAAGGCGAUGAUGCGUAGCCGGACUGAGAGGUUGAACGGCCACAAUGGGACUGAGAACGGCCCAUACUCCUACGGGAGGCAGCAGUAGGGAAUUUUCGGCAAUGGGCGGAAGCCUGACCGAAGCAACGCCGCGUGAACGAAGAAGUAUUUCGGUAUGUAAAGUUCUUUUAUUUGGGAAGAAAAGACAGAUUGACUGUACCAAAUGAAUAAGCUCCGGCUAACUACGUGCCAGCAGCCGC